Molecule: ribosomal RNA, 903 nt
Filed under: uncultured bacterium
Lineage: Bacteria
Description: bacterial SSU rRNA
Rfam family: Bacterial small subunit ribosomal RNA
Source: RNAcentral
AGAGUUUGAUCAUGGCUCAGAAUGAACGUUGGCGGCGUGGAUUAGGCAUGCAAGUCGUACGGGGCCGCAAGGCACCCGUGGCGCAAGGGUGAGUAAGGCGACGGCAACCAACCCCGAGGACGGCCAUAGCCGCGGGAAACCGCGGGUAAUAGCCGGCGGGGCGGAGGGUCGAGAUCGACUCUCCGUGAAAGGUGAGAAACCGCCCCGGGACGGGCCGUCGUGGUACCAGGUCGUUGGUGGGGUGAUGGCCCACCAAGCCGACGACACCUACCGGGCGUGCGAGCGUGGUCCGGCACACUGGGACUGAGACACUGCCCAGACUCCUACGGGAGGCUGCAGUCGAGAAUCUUCGGCAAUGGGCGCAAGCCCGACCGAGCGACGCCGCGUGGGGGAUGAAGGCCUUCGGGUUGUAAACCCCUGUCGGGGGCGAGCAAGGGGGCGUGAGGAACGCCCCUUGAGCGACCCCCGGAGGAAGCACGGGCUAAGUUCGUGCCAGCAGCCGCGGUAAGACGAACCGUGCGAACGUUAUUCGGAAUCACUGGGCUUAAAGGGCGCGUAGACGGGCGAUUGCGUCGAGUGCUGAAAGCCCCCGGCUCAACCGGGGAACGGGCCUCGAAACGGAUCGUCUCGAGUGGAGGAGGGGGACCUGGAACGUCCGGUGGAGCGGUGAAAUGCGUUGAGAUCGGACGGAACGCCGACGGCGAAAGCAGGGUCCUGGACUCCGACUGACGCUGAGGCGCGAAAGCCAGGGGAGCGAACGGGAUUAGAUACCCCGGUAGUCCUGGCUGUAAACGAUGGGCACUGGACGGUGGGCUCGCCGAUGGGCACGCCGUCGCAGCGCAAGCGUGAAGUGCCCCGCCUGGGGAGUAUGGUCGCAAGGCUGAAACUCAAAGGAAUUGACGG